This 74-nucleotide transfer RNA is filed under the name Bifidobacterium callitrichos. RNAcentral describes it as "tRNA-Val". It matches the Rfam family "tRNA". Rfam says of the family: Transfer RNA (tRNA) molecules are approximately 80 nucleotides in length. The record is from RNAcentral. Lineage: Bacteria; Bacillati; Actinomycetota; Actinomycetes; Bifidobacteriales; Bifidobacteriaceae.
GGGCGAUUAGCUCAGUUGGUUAGAGCGCCACCUUUACACGGUGGAUGUCACAGGUCCGAGUCCUGUAUCGCCCA